UAUGAAGGGCAAAGAAGUUCUACUAUAAAUCUAGUCUUAACUCAUAGCCUAUUUGAUUUGAGCUAAUAAGUCUGAGGGGUAUUUUAUACCUAGUGCCUUAAGGUCAUCUGGUCCGAAAAUCAUUGGCUGAAAACUCACUACAUGGGUUAGAUAGAAAGCUUAAAGAGUUAAGACACUCAAUAGCAGUACAACAUUAAAGAAACAAAAAAAAAUCUAUAAAUGAAGGAUGGAAGUAACACUAUAUCUAUCCAUAUGAAAGUUAGACGAUUUAG
This 272-nucleotide long non-coding RNA is filed under the name Elaeis guineensis (African oil palm). RNAcentral describes it as "long non-coding RNA (EGUI_LNC018553)". The record is from RNAcentral. Lineage: Eukaryota; Viridiplantae; Streptophyta; Magnoliopsida; Arecales; Arecaceae.